RNAcentral lists this ribosomal RNA (388 nucleotides) under uncultured bacterium. RNAcentral's name for it is "partial 16S ribosomal RNA". It matches the Rfam family "Bacterial small subunit ribosomal RNA", at positions 523 to 918 of the family's 1533-position model. The record is from RNAcentral.
AUACGUAGGUAGCAAGCGUUAUCCGGAAUUAUUGGGCGUAAAGAGUGAGCAGGCGGUUAAUUAAGUCUGAGGUUAAAGCGUGGGGCUCAACCCCAUAAAGCCUUGGAAACUGAUUGACUAGAGUACGGGAGAAGGGAAGGGAACUCCAUGUGUAGCGGUGAAAUGCGUAGAUAUAUGGAAGAACACCAGUGGCGAAGGCGCUUCACUAGCCCGAAACUGACGCUCAGUCACGAAAGCGUGGGUAGCAAAUAGGAUUAGAUACCCUAGUAGUCCACGCUGUAAACGAUGACAACUAAAUAUUGCCGCGAGGCAGUGUUGAAGCUAACGCAUUAAGUUGUCCGCCUGGGGAGUACGGUCGCAAGACUGAAACUUAAAGGAAUUGGCGGGG